AUCAGUUUCUAGAAAUUAAGUUUUUAAAGCACACUUUAUGCUUCCAAAAGCAUCAGCUAUAAUACAUUAUGAAAUUAUUUUUCUGAAUGAAUAUAUUUUGCUUACAGAAUUCUGUGUAGGACUUAGAUUUUCUACUUCUGUGGUUUGUUUUUAGUAGUAAAGAUUGUAAAAUAGCUGUUUUCAUUUCUUAGCUAAGCACAAUCGUGCAUAAGAAUCUGCUUAUCUUAU
RNAcentral lists this long non-coding RNA (228 nucleotides) under Homo sapiens (human). Its description in RNAcentral is "non-protein coding lnc-MICAL2-6:1". Lineage: Eukaryota; Metazoa; Chordata; Mammalia; Primates; Hominidae. The record is from RNAcentral.